This 548-nucleotide ribosomal RNA is filed under the name uncultured bacterium. Its description in RNAcentral is "bacterial SSU rRNA". It matches the Rfam family "Bacterial small subunit ribosomal RNA", at positions 355 to 895 of the family's 1533-position model. The record is from RNAcentral.
UAGGGAAUCUUCGGCAAUGGGGGCAACCCUGACCGAGCAACGCCGCGUGAGUGAAGAAGGUUUUCGGAUCGUAAAGCUCUGUUGUAAGUCAAGAACGAGUGUGAGAGUGGAAAGUUCACACUGUGACGGUAGCUUACCAGAAAGGGACGGCUAACUACGUGCCAGCAGCCGCGGUAAUACGUAGGUCCCGAGCGUUGUCCGGAUUUAUUGGGCGUAAAGCGAGCGCAGGCGGUUUGAUAAGUCUGAAGUUAAAGGCUGUGGCUCAACCAUAGUUCGCUUUGGAAACUGUCAAACUUGAGUGCAGAAGGGGAGAGUGGAAUUCCAUGUGUAGCGGUGAAAUGCGUAGAUAUAUGGAGGAACACCGGUGGCGAAAGCGGCUCUCUGGUCUGUAACUGACGCUGAGGCUCGAAAGCGUGGGGAGCGAACAGGAUUAGAUACCCUGGUAGUCCACGCCGUNNCGAUGAGUGCUAGGUGUUGGAUCCUUUCCGGGAUUCAGUGCCGCAGCUAACGCAUUAAGCACUCCGCCUGGGGAGUACGACCGCAAGGUU